UAGGGAAAAUAUUAGAUUAAACCAGAAACUACACGUGUCACCAUCUAAUUAUUUCAUCAAUUUUUUUUAACGGCCAACAUGGUCAAUGACAAAAACCGUUAAUGGAGGGGCUUAAUUGAUUAUUUUAAUUGGAUGCGAAUUUAUUAUGGGGCUUAAUUGAAUUUUUUUUUUUUACAUUUUCUUAAGGUUUUUUUUCACAUAUAAUCCUAAAUUUUAUAUUUUUAUUAUAAGGUGAAUAUUAGAUUAAAAAUUUUGACAAAUAUUAACAGUAUUGAUGGAGAUUGAAAUUAGUUAUUUUUUAAACAUAA
Molecule: long non-coding RNA, 308 nt
Filed under: Gossypium raimondii (Peruvian cotton)
Lineage: Eukaryota; Viridiplantae; Streptophyta; Magnoliopsida; Malvales; Malvaceae
Description: long non-coding RNA (GRAI_LNC006917)
Source: RNAcentral